Molecule: long non-coding RNA, 232 nt
Organism: Zalophus californianus (California sea lion)
Lineage: Eukaryota; Metazoa; Chordata; Mammalia; Carnivora; Otariidae
Exons: 3
Source: RefSeq, a predicted model, not a curated record
GUGCAGUUGGAAGGAAGGAGAGUGAAAGAUUUUAUUCUUAGUGAGAUGGAAAGCAAUUUGGAAGGUUUAGUGAUGACAACUGCUGUGGCCACAUGUUCCAGAUGGCUCAGCUAAAGAUGACGAAGCUUCCUUCAGCCUGUGUCCUGGAGACUCUUUUGGAGAGGAGUCUGCUGUCCUAUAUGAAUUCACAAACUUCAGUUGCUUGACCAGUCUCUCUCUAUGGGCAUCAGAU